GGUGGCACAAAAAAAUAAAAUAAAAAUAAAAAUAAUUGUUACAUACAAUGCACCUGGAAAACUGUACAUUUCCCCUUAAAAGGGUGGUGAAUGGCAUUACGAACAUGACUUUUAGCAUUAAUCAUUAAUUAAUGCGUAAUUAAAGUAAUUAUUCAACAAGAACACUAAUUCAAAUCUUGAAUUAAUCCCACUCUUCAAGCCCACACUUAAAUUUUCCCCAAAUUAUAAUCUUUAUCCGAUAAUUAGAAAAUCUCUAAAAUCAAAACAAUUUCAAUCGUUACACGAUAAAAGAUGAUUAGCAAUUAAUUAAUAACAACAUUAAGACAACAAAAAAAUAAAAAUAAAAAUUAAAAGAUGAUUAACAAUUUAUAUAUAUCUACCUAAAGAAAAUCGUCUAAGCAUCUACUAAUUAAUUUUUUUUUAAUUUUUUUUUUUUUUUUACCGUCAAACGGAGUUAAAAGCGACAUUGGGCAGCUGCGGCGGCGUGAAGGCCAGGAAAAGUAGAAACGCCAUGAUGGCGACGGGGAGGAGGAGGAGCGUGAGCGGCGGCGGCGGAAGCGGCGGCAGAACGAGCGGCAGUAACAAGAGCGACGCCGUGAAGAGGGCCAUCAAGACUAGCCAUCUCUUGCUGAAAUACCUGAACAUCAGAUUAGUAGUGCUAUUCAACCGCCGCGGCGGCGGCGGCGGCGGCGGCCUCCGCCUGAUCUGCAGGUUGUAUUCGGUGGUCUUGUUCACACCAAAUGAUAGCCUUUCUUCAAUAGUACUGUACAUCUUCUUCUUCAACCAUUACACUGAAAUAUGCUUCACAAUAUAUAUAUGAAUAUAUAUAAUAUCUGUAUGUAUAUAUUAUAUGUAUAGGCUUGUGUGUAUAUAUAUAUAUGUUUCAGUAGAGAUGUUUUUAUUUGUGGGGGGUUGGGG
This 918-nucleotide long non-coding RNA is filed under the name Erythranthe guttata (spotted monkey flower). RNAcentral describes it as "long non-coding RNA (EGUT_LNC003748)". Lineage: Eukaryota; Viridiplantae; Streptophyta; Magnoliopsida; Lamiales; Phrymaceae. The record is from RNAcentral.